Molecule: long non-coding RNA, 3328 nt
Filed under: Manihot esculenta (cassava)
Lineage: Eukaryota; Viridiplantae; Streptophyta; Magnoliopsida; Malpighiales; Euphorbiaceae
Description: long non-coding RNA (MESC_LNC008452)
Source: RNAcentral
UUUGUUGGUUUGGAAAUUGCAUGGAUUAUGGGCUAUAGGAAGGUUGAAGUUAAUCUUGAUGGUGAGAUUGUUUAGCUUCUUCGCACAAGCUAAUAUAAUCUUUGAAUACAAACUUAUUGCUUGCAUAAAAGCUAAAUUUAGCAUUUUUCUAAAAAAUCUAACUUUAGUCAUAGCUUCCAGUUAAAUUUAGUUGCUAAAAUUAAAAAACUAAGAUCAUUAUUUUAUAUAUAAUAAUAUUAAACAUAAUUUUUUUAAACUCCAAUAACAGCGGAAAUACAAACUACAUCACAAUAAUUCAGAUUAUAGGACAAAAAACAUUUCAUUCUAAACUAUCCCUACAGAAGUAUAACUUCCUUUACUACUAAUGCUAUAAAAUUAUAAAAGAUUUACAAUGAAAUUGAAGAUUAUAUAUGUGAUCAAAUAUAACUUACAUGAAGAUUUAAAUGACAUUACCAUUGAAGCAAAUACAACUUUACAAUAACAUUGAAGAUUAUAUAUGUGAUCAAAUAUAUCUUGCAUGAAGAUUUAAAUGACAUUGCCGUUGAAGGAAAUACAACUUGCUGUAACUUCUUCUACUGUACCAUAUCCAUAUCCCAAUUGUCCACCCCAAUUGUCCAUGUGGUGGCAUGUCUUGAAACUGUUCUUCAUUCUGGGUAAAGAAAAAGUAUACCUAGUAUAAGAGGAUGAGCUUCUGAUGAUUUUUUUUUUUUGCAUUCGAUGAUGGGUCUUGACAGGCUGCUCAAAGCUUACAUAUUCGAUGAUGGGUCUAGACAGGCCAUUCAAACUUUAAAUUAUAUCAACAAUCUUGUACAAGCUAUUGUUGAAAAUAAUAUCUGUUCCAAUAGAUCAAAUUUUAAAAAGAUUAUAACAUUACACCAAAAAUAUCAAAAAUAUGAUACAUACAAUAAUCAAUUACUACCUACUAGGUAUUAUUAACGACAUUGCCGUUGAAGGAAAUACAACUUGCUGUGUCGAAGAAAAUAUAACUUCCUCUACUGUACCAUAUCCAUAUCCCAAUUGUCCAUGUGAUGGCAUGGGUGGACAGUCUUGAAACUGUUCUUCAUUUUUGGUAAGGAAAAAGUAUAUCUGGUAUAAGAAGAUGAGGGGAUGAGCUUCUGAUGAUUUUUUUUUUUUGCAUUCGAUGAUGGGUCUUGACAGGCUGCUCAAAGCUUGCAUAUUCGAUGAUGGGUCUUGACAGGCCAUUCAAACUUUGAAUUAUAUCAACAAUCUUGUACAAGCUAUUGUUGGAAAUAAUAUCUGUUCCAAUAGAUCAAAUUUUAAAAAGAUUAUAACAUUACACCAAAAAUAUCAAAAAUAUGAUACAUACAAUAAUUAAUUACUACCUACUAGGUAUUAUUAACGACAUUGCCGUUGAAGGAAAUACAACUUGCUGUGUUGAAGAAAAUAUAACUUCCUCUAUUGUACCAUAUCCAUAUCCCAAUUGUCCAUGUGGUGGCAUGGGUGGACAGUCUUGAAAUUGUUCUUCAUUCUGGGUAAGGAAAAAGUAUACCUGAUAUAAGAGGAUAAGAGGAUGAGCUUCUGAUGAUUUUUUUUUUUUGCAUUCGAUGAUGGAUCUUGACAGGCUGCUCAAAGCAUAUUCGAUGAUAGGUCUUGACAAGCCAUUCAAACUUUGAAUUAUAUCAACAAUCUUGUACAAGCUAUUGUUGGAAAUAAUAUCUGUUCCAAUAGAUCAAAUUUUAAAAAGAUUAUACCAUUACACCAAAAAUAUCAAAAAUAUGAUACAUACAAUAAUCAAUUACUACCUACUAGGUAUUAUUAACGAUCAGAGCCAAUACUUACAAGCAAUAACUAUCAGUUAUAUCUAUUGUAAGCCAUUAAGACUACAUUAUAAAAGAUUUUACGAAUGUUAAUUAGUAGGUAUCUUUGUUAAAAAUCACUACCAUGAGAGAUUCUUUUGUGGACAAAUGUUAACCAAUGUCUCUUUUGUGGAGGAGACAUGUCAAAUGUAUCAGAGCAACGAAAAGAAAAGGCCAAAUAUUUAAACCUAUAAUCAUCACAUUUGAGAGAGUAGGUUUAUAUAUAUAAAAUUAGGAUAAAAAAAGUUGAAUCUAACAACACAUGAUAUAAGGGGUAAUUUGAACAAGAUGUUGAGUACAAAAUCUUUAGGCAAAUAAUCAACCGCCAUUGUAGAUAUUGGCUUCGUUGAUGAGGAUCCCAAGCAAGGCAACUAAAAAAUCAAAGGACAGAGGACCCUUCCCACAAGUGGAGAGAUUUGUAAAAGGAGAGCCUUAAAUCCACUAAAAACAGAGGCUUGCACAUAAGAUCCAGGGUUGGUUCUGAGAGAGAGAGAGAGAGGGAGGAAGGAAUGGAGAGGACGUUAGAAAAGGCUUAUGAAAUUAAAGAGGGAGAUGAACUCUUAGCCACUAAGUAAGAAUAGUGGACCCACAUACCACAUCGAUAACUUACCAUGUUUAUCAAGAUUGUCUGGUGGCAAGAAACGUGUGGGUUUCCAACAAUUCCCCUAGAAGAGUACUGCUCCAUGCAAAGUAAAUCGGAUCAAAGGCAUCACGUGGUUGGCAUUAACAUAAUACUGACACAGAGUAAGUUUACAAAGUUUAGAAAGUCAUACAUAGUUGGCAGAUACUCAGACUAGCUAGUAAAUCGUAUUUGAGUUCAAAAGAAAAAUGGAACCAAAAGAAUGUUGCUUAUCAAUGGAAAGAAAUGAAGUUAACCCAUUAUGAUUUGUUAAAUUCACUUUACUACUACUGCCCUAAAAAUUAUAAAAGUUUUAUAUGACAUUUAAUAUUAUAUGACAUUGAACAAAAAUAAUGACAUUUUAAUAAGAGAACAGGGAACAGGAAAACCACUUUAGCUUCUGAUUCAGUUUCGUUGCUUACCUUUACUAUGUAUUCUUUGCUAUUUUGCUCAGCCUUCUUAAAGAUUAUCUUUCUAUUUUAAGCAUUUUCAUCCUUCUUUACCUUCAGCUCUUGGUUCUUCAACAAUGACCAUUCCUCACUUCUCUUCCUUUUCUUUAGCACAGAUUAAAUAUUAUAGCAGCUGCCUUGGUUUCUUCAACAAUUUCUAAUCAUAAAGAAACAUCCAAUGUAUCAAUGCAAGAACAUUAUGAACUAAAACUCUAUUAAGGACUCAAAUAACCAUUUACGCCCUUUCCAAAAAGAAGAGCAACCGUUAAUCAUAGUUAAAACUGGACAAGACCCUAGGCAAAGCAACGUUAAUGAAGGUGCAAUAUUAUCCAUAUAGCAAUCAUUCAACUACGCAGGUCUCACAGGAAAAUAAAAUCCAUUUGGUAUUUGCUUAAUUAAAACAGUCAGUCAAGUAAACUAAUUAACCCAUAACUAUCUUUAUU